RNAcentral lists this ribosomal RNA (690 nucleotides) under Triticum aestivum (bread wheat). Its description in RNAcentral is "partial small subunit ribosomal RNA". Lineage: Eukaryota; Viridiplantae; Streptophyta; Magnoliopsida; Poales; Poaceae. The record is from RNAcentral.
AUGAUGUGCGGCUCCCUCUGGCAGCUCCUGGCCGUGGUCGUGGCCGUGUCAGCGGUGACGCGGGCGGUGGCCGCCCUGAAGGCUGGUCGGAGCCUGCACCGGGACUUCGACGACGGCCGGGUGGUGGAGCUGGCGCUGGACCGGGAGACGGGGUCCAGGCUGGAGUCCAAGGACCGGUACCUCUUCGGGCGGUUCGAUCUCGACAUCAGGCUCGUCGCCGGCGAGUCCGCCGGGACCAUCACUUCCUUGUACCCUCCUCCGAUGAGGGAGGUGGCUCUGCCCAGCCAUGGCCCUAGCACUCGCCGUGGGAGAGUAGGGCGGCGCCGUCGUGGGGUGGAUGACCAGGGGAUAUCCAGGAUGCCGGCGGUGGGUCGAAGAAGCAGAGAUGCAGCACAUUCUCUUCCUCUCUUCCUUGCUGACGACGCGUCCCGCAAGGUGAUGCGUUCUCGUCUCUUCCCUUCUGGUUGCACGUCAGCUCCUUUUUCCAAUCCCAUGCUCUGCUCUCCUCAUGCCCCUCCUCCUCUUGCUCCUCCUAUGUAUUUUUUUAAUUUCUUUUGUGCGAUUUUACUCAAUGGUGCUUGCACGUCCAUGGAUCUAGAAGUAGCAUGUUCAUUCUUCUUAGUUCAUGUUUUAUGUGUAGCAUUUCGUAGGCUAAAAAUUGAAAGGAGAUGUGAUGAUACUGUCUUUUGA